This 490-nucleotide ribosomal RNA is filed under the name uncultured bacterium. Its description in RNAcentral is "partial 16S ribosomal RNA". It matches the Rfam family "Bacterial small subunit ribosomal RNA", at positions 30 to 507 of the family's 1533-position model. The record is from RNAcentral.
AUUGAACGCUGGCGGCAGGCCUAACACAUGCAAGUCGAACGGUAACAGGAAGCAGCUUGCUGCUUCGCUGACGAGUGGCGGACGGGUGAGUAAUGUCUGGGAAGCUGCCUGAUGGAGGGGGAUAACUACUGGAAACGGUAGCUAAUACCGCAUAAUGUCGCAAGACCAAAGAGGGGGACCUUCGGGCCUCUUGCCAUCGGAUGUGCCCAGAUGGGAUUAGCUUGUUGGUGGGGUAACGGCUCACCAAGGCGACGAUCCCUAGCUGGUCUGAGAGGAUGACCAGCCACACUGGGACUGAGACACGGUCCAGACUCCUACGGGAGGCAGCAGUGGGGAAUAUUGCACAAUGGGCGCAAGCCUGAUACAGCCAUGCCGCGUGUAUGAAGAAGGCCUUCGGGUUGUAAAGUACUUUCAGCGGGGAGGAAGGGAGUAAAGUUAAUACCUUUGCUCAUUGACGUUACCCGCAGAAGAAGCACCGGCUAACUCCGUG